This 954-nucleotide long non-coding RNA is filed under the name Drosophila guanche. Lineage: Eukaryota; Metazoa; Arthropoda; Insecta; Diptera; Drosophilidae. The record is from RNAcentral.
GGUCUAAUUAUGCCGACAACACUAAAUUUCAUGACUCUGCUGGUCGUCGGGCCAACACUCCGACGAAGGGGCUAGUGAUGCUGAUGGCGACAGGGGGAGGGUCGGAGCAGAGACAUCCAGCUUGUAAUUUAAUGGAAAAACAUUUUGCCCCACAUAAAGCGUGGUGAUGAGGGGGAAAUGCCCCUACAUAUCCCCAUGGCUGAGUGUCACUUUACAGUUUGACAGCCAUUGCCAUGGCUUGGCUACGCUUUCAGCUGGGAUUUAUUUAAGCCAGCGGGACACACAUGUGACAGUUUGAAGGCAAAACAUGGGGGGCUUAACAACUCUUAGAACUUUAAGAAUAACUAUGUGCCAUUAAAAAGGGUAAAUAAAAAUAAUCAAAAAGUGUUUACACACUUACACAAAAGCAAAGCAAAUACUAAAUACCCGUAUUUAUGUUUUCUAUACCUCAGGGUCAACUUCUCAAAGAAUUUUCUUCGUCGGCUUAAGUUUGAGCAAGUUGGUAAGUUGGCAAUCGUAUGAUGCACAUCAAAAUAUUCACACUCCAUAAUAUUUGCAUAUUAAUGGGCAUGUAUAAUUAACCCCAAUAAUUAAUGCCAGAAAACAGGAAACCUAAUGAAAUGUAAAAAUAUAAACAGCCAAAUUGGUCCCGUCUCUCUCUCUGUCGUAUUGCCAGGCUACCCGGUCCACGCUCCACUCCAUCUCUCUAUCGCUAUUGCCAUCUCUCUGUCAGUCUUAAUAAGAAUCAAUGGCUCCAGAGAAUUUGCGAUGUGUGUCUGAGUUAAUGCCUGAGUUGAGGCUUUUAGUUCCUAGUUGGAGUUUGAAGUGGAAGGUACCAGGUCGGGCACUAAUAGGCCUUUAAAUAUGUGUCCAAAUUUUGUUCUGCCUGGCCGGGGGGCAAAUGUUUGAACAGCAGUUGACAAAGUAGGUUGUUGCCGUUGCCCUUCAUUUAAC